RNAcentral lists this long non-coding RNA (2693 nucleotides) under Gallus gallus (chicken). RNAcentral describes it as "lncRNA (ENSGALG00010010294.1)". Lineage: Eukaryota; Metazoa; Chordata; Aves; Galliformes; Phasianidae. The record is from RNAcentral.
CAGUGCUGUUCGUUGGUGUUCCCACUUCAUACAAAUUAAUGCUACAACGACCGUGGGUUUUUUUUUUUCUUUUGUGGUCCCCUUGUGUCUAAGUUUUGUAUAUAUGUGUGUAUGUGUGUGUCUACAUGCACACAUUUAAAGCAGUUGCUGGCACAGUUGGCUGGAAACAUAAAUGUAAAAUGAGAAGUGUUAAUGAAAACUGGAACUUAGCCAAGAUGAAUACUCUGCUGGAUGGAGAUGGAGAUGGAAAAUGGAUCUGUAGGGAACCAGCUAAAGCACUUAGUGAAGUUUUAUAUUUACAAAUCUGGGGAGAUUCCAAGGACAUGGGAGAGCGCCAUGGCUGAUCUGGGACUUCACAAGCCUCAGUGGGACACUCUGGGGAGCAAUCGGCUGCUUAGCAGGACAGCAUCCUUCGACAGACUCACCAGACAUUAAUUCAGGCCUCCAACAACAAGGAAUUAGAGGCUAAAAAUAAAAGCAGCACUAAUCAGCUGGGUUUCGUGGAAGUGCCUCUGCUCGACGUGGGAUUGCUGCCAACUAUGACAUCUCCCCUAGGAUCAACAACACAGAGACCAGGAAUAACCAACAGCUGGACUCAUUCAGGCCUUCCUUUCAGGAAAGAAAUUACACUGUGAUUAAUGAGCAAAGCAGAGGGCAGAAAGCGAGGCGUUGGGGGUGCUCCAGGGAAAGGCUGGGCUCCCAUGCCUGUCCCUAUGGCCAUUCCCCACCCAUGUUGGAGGUCCUCCAAAGUCGAGGUUGUUCCCCAUUGCUGUGGUGGUGGCACUGGGGACAGAGGAGGAACAGGGGUGUGGAUGGACACAGAUCCCCUCUCAGUGCAGGGGUCCCUGGGCAGGGAGCUAAAGCUCAGUGCCUACAGUGGUGUAGGGCAGGCAGUGCAGGCAAGAGCCCAUUUUCGCUGCAGAGCUGUAAUAAUGUGUUCCAGGGCUGUUUUCAUGUGGAACAAUCCUCUCUGAGCUAUAAUUACACUCAGUCGCCCCAGAAAAUCAGCAGAAACUCUAAUCCUUUCAGCUGUGUGAGUACAAUGCAAGCAGGCACGUGGCCAGUACACACUGCUGCUGCCAAUCCUGCUAGCCCACCACACUGACAGCACCAAGCCCCCAACCAUCUCCUUCUUUUUGGAGACCUCAGCAUGCACCCAUGCAAUCAUAGAAUCAUUGAAUCAUAGAGUCAUAGAAUCAAUAAGACUGGAAAAGACCUCUAAGAUCAUCUAGUCCAAUCCAUCACCACAAUGGCCACUAAACCAUGUCCCUCAGUGUCACACCUACAUGUUUCUUGAAAACCGAGGUCCCAUCAUUACAUACCAAGAGCACAACCAGGGUGAGGGGAGAUGGUGUUGGGCUGCGAUUGCCUGCAGGAGGCCCUGCAGGUUGGGGCCUGCAUGUAGCUGCAGCAUCCUGGAGCAGCGUGAGGCUUCCCCCAGUCACCAGAGAACCCCAGGUGGGGUGGGCAGGGCAAGAAGACCUUGCUGGCCCCAUGCCAGGGAGCAGGGCACUUGCUGAGGUGUCCCAAUAUCUCAUUUGUUCAUUUGCCACACCCGUGGGUGAGGAAAACGGUAUUGUUCCUGGUUAUUCUGAGAUCGAUGCUAACCAGCAUGGCGUGAGGGGCAGACAAAAGCAAUGAUGCACAAAGGAAAAAAAUUACCCAGGACUCAAUUCAGAAGGAUAGGGGUGGAGACCCCUCUGCUUUACCUGCUCGUGCUGGGACAAAACUGCAGAUGCCACCUUGAUGCUCAGUGAGAAGGUGCUGGGGCUGCCAUCUUUCUUACAGCUCCAGGGCACCCCGCAAACACCACUUGCCUUCCUGGUGGAUCUGCAUAGCUUCAGAAUCCACCUGCCCCUGGACAUCCUCUCAGAGGGCAGAAUUUACCCAUUUUCCCAGGAGCUACUUAAUGGGAGGAGAUUGCAGCUUAUGGUUGAGAUGAGCAUUGCUUCACCUCCUCAGGGCUCCAAUGGAUAUGCCUCCACUAUACAGACUGAUUGCAAAUCUGCCUCCCUACCCUCAGGUGCCUAUUUCACCACUUCCUGGAAGCACCCCACUGCAGUCAUUGGCACCACACUGCACCUGAAACUGAAAGUUCAGCAGAAUCAAAGUGUACCUCUCCGUGGUGGUUGCUGAUGGAGAUCAUUGGAGCAUGCAGGGGGUCCUGACUCACUUUUGGACUCCAGGAAGAGCUGAAGCAAAGUUUCAAGAGCACCAGAGCAGAGCUCGGAUGAGAUGAAACAUCUCCUGGUUUUGAAAUGUGUGGCUUAUUGUGGAUGGCCAGAUGGAUGUGAGAGUAAAGGAAACUGUCUACUCAACAUUUUCACAGAGAAAACUGCCAAGCUAGAAAGUGAAGUCCAUGGAAGUCCAGGAGGGAAAAAGAACAGGAAUGGUCAAAAACAAAGUCCUGCGGCUAUUGGAACAUCAUCAGUUCUGGCUUCUGGAGGCCCGGUGCACCACAUUACAACCACGGAAGAAUGUGUUUUUAAAGUAAUUAUUUAAAUAGUGUUAAUUAGCUCUAUAAAAAUGAAAAAGAAUUUUUUUUUUCAUUGGGGAUCAUAAUAGGAUUUAUUUCUAUGAGAAAAAAUAAGGCUUUUUCAUAUUUCUUCAGCUUAUUAAAUUACCUCAUGUUCUUUUAACUCACACUAGAUUAAUAGCAAGGGAAAUUUCAAAUACAACUUGAUGUGAUUUAA